This 465-nucleotide ribosomal RNA is filed under the name Vreelandella stevensii. Its description in RNAcentral is "partial 16S ribosomal RNA". It matches the Rfam family "Bacterial small subunit ribosomal RNA", at positions 338 to 795 of the family's 1533-position model. The record is from RNAcentral. Lineage: Bacteria; Pseudomonadati; Pseudomonadota; Gammaproteobacteria; Oceanospirillales; Halomonadaceae.
CCUACGGGGGGCUGCAGUGGGGAAUAUUGGACAAUGGGGGCAACCCUGAUCCAGCCAUGCCGCGUGUGUGAAGAAGGCCCUCGGGUUGUAAAGCACUUUCAGUGAGGAAGAACGCCUGGUGGUUAAUACCCAUCAGGAAAGACAUCACUCACAGAAGAAGCACCGGCUAACUCCGUGCCAGCAGCCGCGGUAAUACGGAGGGUGCGAGCGUUAAUCGGAAUUACUGGGCGUAAAGCGCGCGUAGGUGGCUUGAUAAGCCGGUUGUGAAAGCCCCGGGCUCAACCUGGGAACGGCAUCCGGAGCUGUCAAGCUAGAGUGCAGGAGAGGAAGGUAGAAUUCCCGGUGUAGCGGUGAAAUGCGUAGAGAUCGGGAGGAAUACCAGUGGCGAAGGCGGCCUUCUGGACUGACACUGACACUGAGGUGCGAAAGCGUGGGUAGCAAACAGGAUUAGAUACCCCAGUAGUC